UGGGGAAUCUUCCGCAAUGGGCGCAAGCCUGACGGAGCAACGCCGCGUGAAUGAAGAAGGCCUUCGGGUCGUAAAGUUUUGUCAUUAGGGACGAAUAAGCCUUGCGAAUAGUUAGGUGUAUGACGGUACCUAAGAAGGAAGCUCCGGCUAACUACGUGCCAGCAGCCGCGGUAAUACGUAGGGAGCGAGCGUUGUCCGGAAUUACUGGGCGUAAAGGGCGCGUAGGCGGGUAUUUAAGUCAGAUGUGAAAACUCCGGGCUCAACUUGGAGACUGCAUUUGAAACUGGAUGUCUUGAGGGCAGGAGAGGAAAGUGGAAUUCCUAGUGUAGCGGUGAAAUGCGUAGAUAUUAGGAGGAACACCAGUGGCGAAGGCGACUUUCUGGACUGUACCUGACGCUGAGGCGCGAAAGCGUGGGGAGCAAACG
Molecule: ribosomal RNA, 425 nt
Filed under: uncultured Clostridia bacterium
Lineage: Bacteria; Bacillati; Bacillota; Clostridia
Description: partial 16S ribosomal RNA
Rfam family: Bacterial small subunit ribosomal RNA
Source: RNAcentral